AUUGAACGCUGGCGGCAGGCCUAACACAUGCAAGUCGAACGAGUGGCGGACGGGUGAGUAAUGUCUGGGAAACUGCCCGAUGGAGGGGGAUAACUACUGGAAACGGUAGCUAAUACCGCAUACCAUCGGAUGUGCCCAGAUGGGAUUAGCUAGUAGGUGGGGUAACGGCUCACCUAGGCGACGAACCUUAGCUGGUCUGAGAGGAUGACCGGCCACCCGGGAACGGAGAACCUGCCCAACCUCCGACGGGAGGCAGCAGUGGGGAAUAUGGCAGAAGGGGGAAAGGCCUGAUGUGUCCAUGCAGCGGGAAUGAAGAAGGCCUGCGGGUUGUAAAGUACUUUCAGCGAGGGGGCGUUACUCGAAGAAGAAGCACCGGCUAACUCCGUGCCAGCAGCCGCGGUAAUUC
This 406-nucleotide ribosomal RNA is filed under the name uncultured bacterium. Its description in RNAcentral is "partial 16S ribosomal RNA". It matches the Rfam family "Bacterial small subunit ribosomal RNA", at positions 29 to 526 of the family's 1533-position model. The record is from RNAcentral.